GUCCACACGGUAAACGAUGAAUACUCGCUGUUGGCGAUAUACAGUCAGCGGCCAAGCGAAAGCAUUAAGUAUUCCACCUGGGGAGUACGCCGGCAACGGUGAAACUCAAAGGAAUUGACGGGGGCCCGCACAAGCGGAGGAACAUGUGGUUUAAUUCGAUGAUACGCGAGGAACCUUACCCGGGCUUAAAUUGCACUGGACAGGCCAAGAGAUUGGCUCUUCUUCGGACCAGUGUGAAGGUGCUGCAUGGUUGUCGU
This 257-nucleotide ribosomal RNA is filed under the name uncultured bacterium. RNAcentral's name for it is "partial 16S ribosomal RNA". It matches the Rfam family "Bacterial small subunit ribosomal RNA", at positions 793 to 1055 of the family's 1533-position model. The record is from RNAcentral.